AUACGGAGGGUGCAAGCGUUAUCCGGAUUUAUUGGGUUUAAAGGGUCCGCAGGCGGAUUAAUAAGUCAGUGGUGAAAUCCUCUCGCUCAACGAGAGAACUGCCAUUGAAACUGUUAGUCUUGAAUUCGGUCGAAGUAGGCGGAAUGUGUCAUGUAGCGGUGAAAUGCAUAGAUAUGACACAGAACACCGAUAGCGAAGGCAGCUUACUAGACCUGGAUUGACGCUCAUGGACGAAAGCGUGGGGAGCGAACAGGAUUAGAAACCCCUGUAGUCC
RNAcentral lists this ribosomal RNA (274 nucleotides) under uncultured bacterium. RNAcentral describes it as "partial 16S ribosomal RNA". It matches the Rfam family "Bacterial small subunit ribosomal RNA", at positions 523 to 796 of the family's 1533-position model. The record is from RNAcentral.